CUGACGGACUGCCUAAGGUUGUAUCACCCAUCUCGAAACCUACGGGUGGCCAUCUUCUCGAAGAUCCGACGGUCAGCCUCCUCAUCUUGAGGAAUCUCGAAUCGAUAGUACUCCUGCAAGUAGAAGCAAGCAUAUAUUAAUAAAUAGAAUACAAACCUAUCAUAAAUUUAAAAAUUAAAUACCUUUAACUUAUCAGGAACAUCUCCCAGACUGCAUCACCAGCCCUCGAUAGCUAACUGGAGAACUCAUUCAUCGGCCCUGGCAUCAAUCAUCGGAUGAUCCCGAUAAUCACACGAGGCAUGGAGGUCUCUGUAGAUAUGCUACAAAAUUGAUUUUGAUCAAUAAAUGUUAGACUCUACAAUGACUAAAUUUUAAACAUAUCCAGUGAAGAUAUAGUAUUUAUGAGCGGCUCUGAAUGUAGAUGAGCUCUCUAUCCUCUGAUUGAGUCAGAGGUACUGCGAGCCGGACGGAUCCUCUACCAUCCCACUAACACUGAUAGCCAGACGCUGCUCUAUAUGACUGUGAGGUCACUGAUGACCCCACAUCAUCCGAAUCUGAGAGUAUUAAGACAUCAUAAAGAAUGUUCUAUUAGAUAAUAGAAGAUAAAAUAACAUAAAGAAGAAUAUCUAAAGAAUUAGAGUUUAUCGUGUGGUACG
RNAcentral lists this long non-coding RNA (656 nucleotides) under Elaeis guineensis (African oil palm). Its description in RNAcentral is "long non-coding RNA (EGUI_LNC046132)". The record is from RNAcentral. Lineage: Eukaryota; Viridiplantae; Streptophyta; Magnoliopsida; Arecales; Arecaceae.